This 1351-nucleotide ribosomal RNA is filed under the name uncultured bacterium. RNAcentral's name for it is "bacterial SSU rRNA". It matches the Rfam family "Bacterial small subunit ribosomal RNA", at positions 28 to 1381 of the family's 1533-position model. The record is from RNAcentral.
GAUGAACGCUAGCGGCGGGCCUAACACAUGCAAGUCGAGGGGCAGCACGAUAUAGCAAUAUAUUGGUGGCGACCGGCAAAUGGGUGAGUAACGCGUAUGUAAUCUACCUUUAGCUGGAGGAUAGCCUGAAGAAAUUCGGAUUAAUACUCCAUAAUCAUAUUAUCGCAUGAUAAUAUCGUUAAAGUUUUUCGGCAAAAGAUGAGCAUGCGUCUGAUUAGUUAGUUGGUAAGGUAAUGGCUUACCAAGACUUUGAUCAGUAGGGGGCCUGAGAGGGUGAUCCCCCACACUGGUACUGAGACACGGACCAGACUCCUACGGGAGGCAGCAGUGAGGAAUAUUGGUCAAUGGAGGAAACUCUGAACCAGCCACGCCGCGUGCAGGAAGAAUGCCCUAUGGGUUGUAAACUGCUUUUAUGAAGGAAUAAUUUUUUCUACGUGUAGAAAAUUGAAGGUACUUCAUGAAUAAGUAUCGGCAAACUCCGUGCCAGCAGCCGCGGUAAUACGGAGGAUACAAGCGUUAUCCGGAUUUAUUGGGUUUAAAGGGUGCGUAGGUGGUUUUUUAAGUCAGUGGUGAAAUCUUAUAGCUUAACUAUAAAAUGGCUGUUGAUACUGGAAAACUAGAGUAAUAUUGGAGUAACUGGAAUGUGUGGUGUAGCGGUGGAAUGCGUAGAUAUCACACAGAACACCAAUCGCGAAGGCAGGUUACUAAGUAUUUACUGACGCUGAGGCACGAAAGCAUGGGGAGCAAACAGGAUUAGAUACCCUGGUAGUCCAUGCCGUAAACGAUGAUCACUAACUGUUGAUAUUUUUAUAUCAGUAGUCAAGCGAAAGUGAUAAGUGAUCCACCUGAAGAGUACGAUCGCAAGAUUGAAACUCAAAGGAAUUGACGGGGGCCCGCACAAGCGGUGGAGCAUGUGGUUUAAUUCGAUGAUACGCGAGGAACCUUACCAAGGCUUAAAUGUGCUACGAAUAAGUUGGAAACAAUUUAGUCUUCGGACGGAGCGCAAGGUGCUGCAUGGUUGUCGUCAGCUCGUGCCGUGAGGUGUCAGGUUAAGUCCUUCAACGAGCGAAACCCCUAUUGUUAUUUGCCAGCGAGUUAUGUCGGGAACUUUAACAAGACUGCCGUCGCAAGACGUGAGGAAGGUGGGGAUGAUGUCAAAUCAUCAUGGCCCUUAUGCCUUGGGCUACACACGUGCUACAAUGGUCAGUACAAUGAGCUGCAACUAGGCAACUAGGAGCUAAUCUUUAAAACUGAUCUCAGUUCGGAUUGGAGUCUGCAACUCGACUCUAUGAAGCUGGAAUCGCUAGUAAUCGCAUAUCAGCAAUGAUGCGGUGAAUAUGUUCCCGGGCCU